GCUUGACAAUAGGUGGCGUUUCGUUUCUGAUAAAGUUUGCAGUCAUGGACAUAAAUUAUUAGAAAUUAACCUUCGUCACGGAUUGAAGACGCUUUUCUGUCAAUCAGGGUUAACAAUAACAUCAUGGUUACAUUAUACUGAAAAGCAAGGAGGAAAAAAUUGCGAAGAAAACGAAGAACGAACAGAAAAGUAAAUGUGGACGCACUAAGCUGAUCAAAGUUUACGUUUACAAGUGAUGCUUUUGAAAAUGAGAGUAAUUAAGUCGAGACUGGUCAUUAACAGCAUGUAAUGUAUUGCAUCCAGUAAGGAACUCUGGCUUCCUCUUAAUUGUAACAGUAUUAUAUUUCGGAAGAAAAUGGUUAAUGAAGGAAAUCCGGAAUAAUGAAGACAUAAUAUGAUAUGGCUUUUACUGAUCUUGGUAUUAAGAUGCCCCUUACUAAAGACGAAAAAGACAUUAGGAAACAGCAUAGAUAUAAUACCUCUACCCGAAGAAAACGUCAAUGAAAUAGUAAACUGCAAAAGAAAUAACAUUCAAGACAAAGGAAAUGUAAAAGGAUAACUUCAGAAUAAUUAAUUCCAGAAAAAACAGAAGGCUAUACAUAAGUUCACAAAAAAUGUAAUAUAAUACCAAAGCCACAAGAAAAGAAGAAUGAAGAACGAUGUUUUAGCUGCAUAUUUUAACUGUAGAUCUAAAACUUGUUCGUUUAACAAAUUGAUCUGUUUCCAGCUUUGAUAAUCAUAAAACGUAGA
Stegodyphus dumicola is the source of this 750-nucleotide long non-coding RNA. NCBI's taxonomy places the organism in Eukaryota, Metazoa, Arthropoda, Arachnida, Araneae, Eresidae. The record is from RefSeq and is a predicted model, not a curated record.